UUAGUUAAAGCCAAAAAGAGGCAUACCACUGUUAAUGGUUGAAAUGAAAAAAAUUUUUUCUAACUAAA
This 68-nucleotide transfer RNA is filed under the name Typhlatya monae. Its description in RNAcentral is "tRNA-Asn". The record is from RNAcentral. Lineage: Eukaryota; Metazoa; Arthropoda; Malacostraca; Decapoda; Atyidae.